This 87-nucleotide transfer RNA is filed under the name Perca flavescens (yellow perch). It matches the Rfam family "tRNA". Rfam says of the family: Transfer RNA (tRNA) molecules are approximately 80 nucleotides in length. Their secondary structure includes four short double-helical elements and three loops (D, anti-codon, and T loops). Further hydrogen bonds mediate the characteristic L-shaped molecular structure. tRNAs have two regions of fundamental functional importance: the anti-codon, which is responsible for specific mRNA codon recognition, and the 3' end, to which the tRNAs corresponding amino acid is attached (by aminoacyl-tRNA synthetases). tRNAs cope with the degeneracy of the genetic code in two manners: having more than one tRNA (with a specific anti-codon) for a particular amino acid; and 'wobble' base-pairing, i.e. permitting non-standard base-pairing at the 3rd anti-codon position. The record is from Rfam by way of RNAcentral. Lineage: Eukaryota; Metazoa; Chordata; Actinopteri; Perciformes; Percidae.
CCUUCGAUAGCUCAGUUGGUAGAGUGGAGGACUGUAGAGGGUACGAUAGGCAUCCUUAGGUCGCUGGUUCAAAUCUGGCGCGAAGGA